This 73-nucleotide transfer RNA is filed under the name Stegodyphus mimosarum. It matches the Rfam family "tRNA". Rfam says of the family: Transfer RNA (tRNA) molecules are approximately 80 nucleotides in length. Their secondary structure includes four short double-helical elements and three loops (D, anti-codon, and T loops). Further hydrogen bonds mediate the characteristic L-shaped molecular structure. tRNAs have two regions of fundamental functional importance: the anti-codon, which is responsible for specific mRNA codon recognition, and the 3' end, to which the tRNAs corresponding amino acid is attached (by aminoacyl-tRNA synthetases). tRNAs cope with the degeneracy of the genetic code in two manners: having more than one tRNA (with a specific anti-codon) for a particular amino acid; and 'wobble' base-pairing, i.e. permitting non-standard base-pairing at the 3rd anti-codon position. The record is from Rfam by way of RNAcentral. Lineage: Eukaryota; Metazoa; Arthropoda; Arachnida; Araneae; Eresidae.
GCCUUCGUGGUGUAAUGGUCAGCACACUGAGCCGGUAAUUCAGAGGUCCGCGGUUCGAUUCCCGGCCAAGGCG